AAAUUGAAGAGUUUGAUCAUGGCUCAGAUUGAACGCUGGCGGCAGGCCUAACACAUGCAAGUCGAACGGUAACAGGAAACAGCUUGCUGUUUCGCUGACGAGUGGCGGACGGGUGAGUAAUGUCUGGGAAACUGCCCGAUGGAGGGGGAUAACUACUGGAAACGGUAGCUAAUACCGCAUAACGUCGCAAGACCAAAGAGGGGGACCUUCGGGCCUCUUGCUAUCGGAUGUGCCCAGAUGGGAUUAGCUAGUAGGUGGGGUAACGGCUCACCUAGGCGACGAUCCCUAGCUGGUCUGAGAGGAUGACCAGCCACACUGGAACUGAGACACGGUCCAGACUCCUACGGGAGGCAGCAGUGGGGAAUAUUGCACAAUGGGCGCAAGCCUGAUGCAGCCAUGCCGCGUGUAUGAAGAAGGCCUUCGGGUUGUAAAGUACUUUCAGCGGGGAGGAAGGGAGUAAAGUUAAUACC
This 470-nucleotide ribosomal RNA is filed under the name Escherichia coli. RNAcentral describes it as "partial 16S ribosomal RNA". It matches the Rfam family "Bacterial small subunit ribosomal RNA", at positions 1 to 467 of the family's 1533-position model. The record is from RNAcentral. RNAcentral also lists the same sequence under 1 other name. Lineage: Bacteria; Pseudomonadati; Pseudomonadota; Gammaproteobacteria; Enterobacterales; Enterobacteriaceae.